RNAcentral lists this ribosomal RNA (468 nucleotides) under uncultured bacterium. RNAcentral's name for it is "partial 16S ribosomal RNA". It matches the Rfam family "Bacterial small subunit ribosomal RNA", at positions 28 to 507 of the family's 1533-position model. The record is from RNAcentral.
GACGAACGCUGGCGGCGUGCUUAACACAUGCAAGUCGAACGGAAAGGCCCUGCUUUUGUGGGGUGCUCGAGUGGCGAACGGGUGAGUAACACGGGAGUAACCUGCCCUUGACUUGGGGAUAACUUCAGGAAACUGGGGCUAAUACCGGAUAGGAGCUCCUGCUGCAUGGUGGGGGUUGGAAAGUUUCGGCGGUUGGGGAUGGACUCGCGGCUUAUCAGCUUGUUGGUGGGGUAGUGGCUUACCAAGGCUUUGACGGGUAGCCGGCCUGAGAGGGUGACCGGCCACAUUGGGACUGAGAUACGGCCCAGACUCCUACGGGAGGCAGCAGUGGGGAAUAUUGCACAAUGGGCGGAAGCCUGAUGCAGCAACGCCGCGUGCGGGAUGACGGCCUUCGGGUUGUAAACCGCUUUCGCCUGUGACGAAGCGUGAGUGACGGUAAUGGGUAAAGAAGCACCGGCUAACUACGUG